UUGAGGUAAGACCUGCCCAAUGUAAUUAUUAAUGGCCGCGGUAUUCUGACCGUGCGAAGGUAGCAUAAUCAUUAGUCUCUUAAUUAGAGGCUGGUAUGAAUGGUUAAACGAGAAAAUAACUGUCUCUCAUGUAAAAUUUGAAUUUCAUUUUUAAGUGAAAAAGCUUAAAUUUAUCUGAAGGACGAUAAGACCCUAUAGAGCUUUACUUCAACAAAAUACAAACAACCUAGAAAUUAUUACUAUUAUUUUACAGAAGUUACGUUGGGGCGACGACGAGACAACUAAAUAACUCUCUAUUUUUUUAACAAAUAAAACUGACAAAUUGAUCCUUAAAGAAAGAUCAAAUGAACAAGUUACCUUAGGGAUAACAGCGUAAUCCUUUUUAAGAGUUCUCAUCAACAAAAGGGUUUGCGACCUCGAUGUUGGAUUAAGAGUUCACCAAGGUGCAGCAGCUUUGGAAGAUGGUCUGUUCGACCUUUAAUCUCUUACAUGAUCUGAGUUCAG
Molecule: ribosomal RNA, 504 nt
Filed under: Leptestheria brasiliensis
Lineage: Eukaryota; Metazoa; Arthropoda; Branchiopoda; Diplostraca; Leptestheriidae
Description: partial large subunit ribosomal RNA
Rfam family: Bacterial large subunit ribosomal RNA
Source: RNAcentral